Molecule: ribosomal RNA, 253 nt
Filed under: uncultured bacterium
Lineage: Bacteria
Description: partial 16S ribosomal RNA
Rfam family: Bacterial small subunit ribosomal RNA
Source: RNAcentral
UACGGGGGGGGCAAGCGUUGUUCGGAAUUACUGGGCGUAAAGGGCGCGUAGGCGGGCUGCCGCGUCCGGGGUGAAAUCCCACGGCUCAACCGUGGAACUGCCCCGGAUACGGGCGGCCUCGAGGGGGGUAGGGGCAUCUGGAACUGUGAGUGGAGCGGUGAAAUGCGUUGAUAUUCACAGGAACUCCGGUGGCGAAGGCGAGGUGCUGGACCCCUCCUGACGCUGAGGCGCGAAAGCCAGGGGAGCAAACGGG